RNAcentral lists this transfer RNA (67 nucleotides) under Neobisnius villosulus. RNAcentral's name for it is "tRNA-Arg". The record is from RNAcentral. Lineage: Eukaryota; Metazoa; Arthropoda; Insecta; Coleoptera; Staphylinidae.
AAAUAAGAAGCAAAAUAAUUGCAUUUAGUUUCGACCUAAACCUUUGGUGAGCACCCACCCUUAUUUA